CCGACGAGUUCCGCCGGCAAGGCUGAAAGGGUGAGGUAAGAGCUCACCAGCGUGCCGGGUGACCGGUGCGGCUAGGUAAACCCCGUCCGGAGCAAGGUCAAGCAGGAGGUUGGGCGGCCCGCCCGUAUGCCUCCGGGUAGACCGCUAGAGGCGUGCGGCAACGUACGUCGUAGAUGGAUGGUCACCGGGACGUCGUUCUUGAACGGCGUCUCACAGGACCCGGCUUAUAGGCCGACUCGAAAA
Molecule: RNase P RNA, 243 nt
Filed under: Actinomycetota bacterium
Lineage: Bacteria; Bacillati; Actinomycetota
Description: partial RNase P RNA component class A
Rfam family: Bacterial RNase P class A
About the family: Ribonuclease P (RNase P) is a ubiquitous endoribonuclease, found in archaea, bacteria and eukarya as well as chloroplasts and mitochondria.
Source: RNAcentral